Molecule: long non-coding RNA, 340 nt
Organism: Bufo bufo (common toad)
Lineage: Eukaryota; Metazoa; Chordata; Amphibia; Anura; Bufonidae
Exons: 3
Source: RefSeq, a predicted model, not a curated record
GACACAAACAGGCAAAGUGAAAAUCCAUCACCUGUUCAAAAAAGAACUUCCAGGCGUGGUGGUCGCGGACAACGUGGUCGUGGCAGUCGUCGUGGACGUGUAGGCCGUCUGAAAUCAUAUCAACACGCUGGAGGUCAAUACGCGAUAGGUUUAUGCGUGACCUCAAUCAUGAACGAACGGCGCCAAGUGGUUCCGUUCCUUCUCAGAGGAAAGCUUACCAAUAUGCACCACAUCUUCAAUUUCUUCAACGUUGUUUUCAGCAGCGCAUGACUCAUUCAAGCACACUCCCUCCUGAAGCAGAACCUCUUGAACAUGAGGAAUCAACCGAACAAUUGUCUGG